This 134-nucleotide ribosomal RNA is filed under the name Klebsiella pneumoniae. RNAcentral describes it as "partial 23S ribosomal RNA". It matches the Rfam family "Bacterial large subunit ribosomal RNA", at positions 2809 to 2925 of the family's 2925-position model. The record is from RNAcentral. Lineage: Bacteria; Pseudomonadati; Pseudomonadota; Gammaproteobacteria; Enterobacterales; Enterobacteriaceae.
UUCUCCCUGAGACUAUAAGUCUCCUGAAGGAACGUUAAAGACGAUGACGUUGAUAGGCCGGGUGUGUAAGCGCAGCGAUGCGUUGAGCUAACCGGUACUAAUGAACCUUGAGGCUUAACCUUACAACGCCGAAG